UGUGGGGUCUCAGUUCCCAGACCAGGCGUGAACCCGGGCCAUAGCCACUAGACCACCAGGGAACUCCCUUAGGUACAUUCUUUCAUUCUUUUUGUUCUUUUUUUUUUCCUUAGAUACAUUCGUAAAUUUUUUUUUAUCAAGGUGAAUUUCACAUAACUCAAAACUAACCAUUUUAUUUACCUAUUUUUUAUUUUUUUGCCUUUUUUUUUUUUUAAGGGCCUAGUCAGCAGCAUAUGGAAGUUCCUGGACUAGGGGUCAAAUCAGAUCUGCAGCUGCCAGCCUAUACCACAGCCACAGCAGCAACAAAUAUGAGCCACAUCUUCGACCUGCACCACAACUCACAGCAACCAAUGCCAGAUCCUUAAUUCACUGAGCAAAGCCAGGAAUCAAACUUGCAUGGAUACUAGUUGGGUUCAUUUCUGCUGAGCCACAACGGGAAGUCCCAAAUUAACCUUUUUUUUUUUUAAGGGCUGCACUCUCGGCAUGUGGAGAGGUUUCCAUGCUAGGGGUCUAAUCGGAGCUACAGCUGUUGGCCUGUGCCACAGCAAUACCAGAGCUAAGCAGCGUCUGUGACCUACACCACAGCUCACAGCAACGCUGGAUCCUUAACCUACUGAUCGAGGCCAGGGAUCGAACCUGCAACCUCAUGGCUCCUAGUGGGAUUCGCUUCUGCUGCUUCAUCAUGGGAACUCCCAAAUUAACCAUUUUAAAGUGAAUAAUUCAGUGGCAUUUAGUACAUUCACAUUGUUGUGCACCCACCAUCCAGCUCCAAAAUGUAUUCAUCACCACAAGGAAAUCUCAUUUCUCUCACGCAGCUCCUUCCCGUUGCCCGCUCUCCCCAGUUCCUCGUCCUUUGCAGGUGACGGUGUUCACAGGGUGUUUUGAGGCGUGGGGUAAUGCAGUCGUCUAAUCCUGUGGUACAGGGUUGGAAUUGAAGAAACCAGCAAGAAGUUCAAGAAGCAGUGGUGCUUUGAGCCAAGCCUUAGAGAUAGGAGUUUUCCCUGUGUUUCUGAUUUUAGGGUGUUUAUUACCUUUUUUUUUUUUUGGGUCUUUUUAGGACCGCUGGCAGCUACAGCUCCGAUUGACCCCUAGCCUGGGAAUCUCCAUAUGCCGUGGGUGCAGCCCUAAAAAGACAAAAAAAAAAAAAAAAUUAGUAUUAUAUGAUAUAAGCUGUAAAUGUUAAAAAAUUAUUUUGAGAAGUCUAAUCUUUCUUACAAAUUUCAAUCUGGAUUUUCUUUUAAAUUGUCUUGAACUGUGCUGUCCAAUAAUGUAGCCAUUAUUUAUUAUUUAUUUAUCUGUUUAUUUUGCUCUUUAUGGCCACAUCCACAGCAUAUGGAGGUUCCCAGGCUAGGGGUCCAAUCAGAGCUGUUGCCGCUGGCCUACACCGCAGCCACAGCAAUGCCAGAUCUGAGCCUUGUCUUGGACCUACACCACAGCUCAUGGCAAUGCCGGGUCCUUAGCCCACUGAGCGAGGCCAGGGAUGGAACAUGCACCCUCAUGGUUCCUAGUCGGAGUCUUUAACCACUGCACCACGACAGGAACUCCAGUGUAGCCAUUAUUUAAAUUUAAGUUUAUUAAAAUCAAAUAAAUGGAGAGUUCAGUUCUGUCCCAUUAGCCACAUUUCAGGUGCUCAGUAGAUGUCUGUAGACACUGUGCUGGACUGCGCAGAAUCGAACAUCUCCAUUUUCCCAGAGGGCACUGCUGGGCAGCUGUGACCUCGAGGUUCUGAUGAAGUGAAAGCUUUGUUCUUUUUAACUUCUGUACUGCUUCUGGAUUCUGCUGCUUUAAUCAAGGUACCUGGUGAAAUGUAUAUUGGAACAGCUGAUAAAUAUUAAGAUGGAUUUGUGCUGAAUUCCUCUAGUGGAGUAUUUGUGAAAAUACUGCUGUUAGGGUAUUCAAAGUUAGGCUUCUUGAGAAAGCAGGUAGAAAUUGAAAGCAUAGAAGAGCUUUGUUUUUUGAGGUGGUUAUCUAGUACCUAGUUAACGAAAAGGAUGAUGAAGCUGUACAGCUAUGUUGAAGAUAAGUGUAGGACUUAAAAAAUCAACAGUAUGAAGGCUCAGCAUUGUUUCUAAAGAUUAGGUUUUUAUUUAUUAUUAUUUUUUAAUUUUUAAUUUUUUUAAAUUUUUUUUGUCUUUUUUUUUGCUAUUUCUUGGGCCGCUCCCGUGGCACGUGGAGGUUCCCAGGCUAGGGGUCGAAUCAGAGCUGUAGCCACAGGCCUACGCCAGAGCCACAGCAACGCGGGAUCCGAGCCGCGUCUGCAACCUACACCACAGCUCACGGCAACGCCGGAUCGUUAACCCACUGAGCAAGGGCAGGGAUCGAACCCGCAACCUCAUGGUUCCUAGUCGGAUUCGUUAACCACUGCGCCAUGACGGGAACUCCCAAGAUUAGGUUUUUAAAAACAGCCUUAUGAGGUAUAAUUGACUUAAAAUAAGCUCUGCAUAUUUAAUGUGUACAAUUAUACGUCAGUGAGGCUGCUCGAAGCCCUGCUGCUUCCUGCUGCUGCUGUUCAGUCUUUUCUCUUUUGUUUUGGAUGCUUUCUAUUGCUUUACCUUUAAGUUUGCUAAUAUUUUCUUUUGCAAUGUCCAGUCUGCUCUUAAUACAUUGUAUGUAGUAUAUUUUUCAUCUCAGACAUUAUAGGUUUCAUAUCUAGAAGUUUGAUUUGGAUCUUUUUUUAAAAUGUAUUUUAUGUCCCUGCUUAACAUAGUCUUUCCUUUGAAUUCUCACAUUGAAAUACAGUUACAGUUGUCUUAAUACCUUUGUCCACUAAUUAUGUCAUCUCUCUCAUUUAUUUCUUUUUUCUUUUUUCUUUUUUUAGGGCCACACCCACGAAAUAUGGAGGUUCCCAGGCUAGGGGUCUAAUCAGAGCUGUAGCUGCCGGUCUGCGCCACAGCCACAGCAACACCAGAUCUGAGCCACAUCUGCGACCUACACCAUAGUUCACAGCAAUGCCAGAUCCUUAACCCACUGAGCGAGACCGGGGAUCCAACCCACAACCUCAUGGCUCCUAGUUGGGUUCACUAACUGCUGAGCCAUGACGGGAACUCUGAUUCCUAUAAAUAUUUUCUUGAGUUUUGUUCUGGAACAUGAUGCAGUUCCUUACAAAUGGUUUGUUCAUUUCAAAUCUUGUUAGGUGGGAUCAGAGCAGCAUUUAGUUUAGGGCUAAUUAUUUCCCACUACUGAGCCAAAACUCUUCUGAGUACUCUAAUAGUUUGUUAAUUCUGAGGUUUUCCACUCUGUUGGGAAUCAGUCCUCUUCUUGGCCCUGUGUGAGCCUCAUGAAUUAUCCUUGUUAUUCUUUUUUUGUUGUUGUUGUUGUCUUUUUGCCAUUUUCUUGGGCCGUUUUCGUGGCAUAUGGAAGUUCCCAGGCUAGGGGUCGAAUUGGAGCUAUAGCCGCUGGCCUAUGCCAGAGCCACAGCAACGUGGGAUCCAAGCCACGUCUGUGACCAACACCACAGCUCACGGCAACGCCGGAUCCUUCACCCACUGAGCAAGGCCAGGGAUCGAACCCGCCACCUCAUGGUUCCUAGUCAGAUUCGUUUCCACUGCACCACAACGGGAACUCCAGUCCUUGUUAUUCUUUUGGGUAGUUCUCCCUCCCGCUUUGCUGUUGUUUUUUGUUUUUGUUUUUUGCUUUUUAGGGCCAAACCCACGGCAUAUGGAAGUUCCCAGGCUUGGGGUCCAAUUGGAGCUCUUGCUUCCACCUUACACCACAGCCACAGCAACACCAACGUGGGAUCUGAGCCUCGUCUUCCACCUACAGCAUAGCUCACUGCAAUGCCAGAUCCUUAACCCACUGAGGGAGGCCAGGGAUCGAACCUACGUCCUCAUGGAUACUAGUCAGAUUGCCCCCCACCCCCGUUGGAUGCCCCUCAUCACAUGGAGCUCCCAGGCCAAGGAUCAGAUCCGAGCCGAAGACCUAAGCACUAGCUGCGGCAAUGCCAGAUCCCCAACCCACUGUGCCGGGCUGGGGAUCAAACCAGUAUCCUGGUGCUCCCAAGACGCUGCUGGUCCUGUUGCACCACAGUGGGAACUCCUGGGUGGUUCUUCAUAUGGAAACCUCAAGUAUUUUCUUCACAGGCGUCUGCUGGCCAGUACUGUCCUGAGUACGCAAGGAGGAGAGCUCUGGACUCCUCUUUCUGUGCAGCUCUCUCUUUUGUGGAUAACCUGCCCUGCAGACUCGAGCUGCCUUGUCCGCCUUGGCCUCAACUUGUCUCUAAGUGUGGGGAGACUGCCUAACUUCCCCUGGAUUCCUUCUCCCUGUGCUGCCAGUUGGAAACCCUCCAAGCAGUAAACUGGGGUGGUUGUAGGAUUUGCUUCAUUCUUUCCUUGUUUCUCAGGGAUCACUCUACUUCGUAACUUUGUGUCUUAAAAACUAUUGCUUUGUAUAUUCCAGUUUUCAGUUGUUCACCAUGGUGGAGUAAAUCUGGUUCAUGUCAUCCCACCUGCCUGGAAGCAGAAGUGUAAACUUUUUUUAAAAAAGGGAAGUAGGUAAUUCUCAUUGUGGCUCAGCGGAAACGAUCCUGCCUAGUAUCCAUGAGGACACAGGUGCGAUCCCUGGCCCUGCUCAGUGGGUUAAGGAUAUGGUGUUGCCAUGAGCUGUGGUGUAGGUCUGGCAUUGCUAUGGCUGUGGUGUAGGCUGGGAGCUCCAGCUCCAAUUUGACCCCCAAGCCUGGAAACUUCCAUAUGCCACAGGUGUGGCCC
RNAcentral lists this long non-coding RNA (4703 nucleotides) under Sus scrofa (pig). RNAcentral's name for it is "lncRNA (ENSSSCG00065052055.1)". The record is from RNAcentral. Lineage: Eukaryota; Metazoa; Chordata; Mammalia; Artiodactyla; Suidae.